This 453-nucleotide long non-coding RNA is filed under the name Vigna radiata. RNAcentral describes it as "long non-coding RNA (VRAD_LNC010708)". Lineage: Eukaryota; Viridiplantae; Streptophyta; Magnoliopsida; Fabales; Fabaceae. The record is from RNAcentral.
GCGCAGAAAGAAAAUCUGGAACAUAUCCUAUAAAUAAAUUUAACAUAUUUAAAGUGUGAGUGAUUAAAGAAAUCCAUGAGUAAAUAAGCAAAGAGUUAGUAAAUUUAGAAGAAAAAAAUAUAAUUAAGUAAAAAGAAAGUAGGGUUUUGAAGUAUGAUAGCUGCGUUAGCUAAUUGACAAGAAUGGAGAGAGUGGAAAAGAAAGUAUCUGAGUGGACAUAUUGGAGUCACAAAUUCCGCAAGAUCCUCGAAAUUAUUGAAGGUUGAAAGCCACCUCUCUCCCACAAUUAUAACAUGUCCUUUUUAGUCAUCUACACAUUAACCAAUGUCUUCCAGAUAAAUUGCCACUACAAACAUCAUGCCUUCUCUCUUCUCCCUUUCCUAUAUAUCCAUUAUUAUUUCUUCAUACAUUCCUAUUUUUAGCCUCAUUUAUUCAAUCCCACCUUUUUUCCAA